UGUUAAAAUAGUGUUAAUUUCACCUUUUUAGUUAAAUAAAAUAGGUUUGUUAAAUAAUUAGGUAUUUUCUCUUUUAGAAAAAUAUUCAUAAAAUUAAAAUAAAUGUUUUUUUUAGGCUUUUAUAUUUUCUUUUUGCUGUUUAAUUUUUCAUUUCUUUCUUUUUGCAGAUUUGCCCUUGGAAAAAUGGGCCAAGCCACAUUUGAAUCAGCACUGAAUGGAGAAGUCACUUUUGGACCGCUGUUUCUGCACUGCAUUGUUGCUGCCUUUGCAAAUGGAUUGGGCUGGAUGGGCUGAAGUUCCUUUUAGGAGACUUAAUGAAACACACUGUUUUGAUGUGCUGAUGCAAAAGAGGGGUCUUCUAAUGUGUGUUCAUUUGUGCGCAGAGAAGCUAGAGCAAAUUUAGGAUUCUUCCCCGAUUCUUUCAACCCUCGAGAUAGGGUUCUUCCAAUAGAGUGAAGAAGCGUUGCAGCAACUCUGGACGCGAGCUUCAAAGGCCCAAUGGAAGUAGGCCCAAGCUGAUCGGAAUUAAAUCGGAAGCAAGGCAUCUUGAUCAGAAGCUUGCAAUCCUAACCAGAAGCAGCGUGAACGGAGGAUGAAGGCAAAGAAAAUAAUCCAAGGCCCAAAAGGAUGAUCGGCCCAAAUGCGUGACCAGAAGAUGUUGAUCGGACCGGUGUCAGUUGGAGAACGAAGUAAAGCUGUCGCGAUCAAGAGUUAGUUGAAGAUGAUUCUAGAGGCUUGGUUCGUUUUCAGAUUCUUCCCCUUUUCCCCUUUUCUUUUUCUUUUCUGUUUU
This 790-nucleotide long non-coding RNA is filed under the name Vigna radiata. RNAcentral describes it as "long non-coding RNA (VRAD_LNC010930)". The record is from RNAcentral. Lineage: Eukaryota; Viridiplantae; Streptophyta; Magnoliopsida; Fabales; Fabaceae.